RNAcentral lists this non-coding RNA (109 nucleotides) under human gut metagenome. RNAcentral's name for it is "SAM riboswitch (S box leader)". It matches the Rfam family "SAM riboswitch aptamer (S box leader)". From Rfam's summary of the family: The SAM riboswitch is found upstream of a number of genes which code for proteins involved in methionine or cysteine biosynthesis in Gram-positive bacteria. The SAM riboswitch acts at the level of transcription termination control. The record is from RNAcentral.
CCUUAUUAAGAGCGGCGGAGGGAAUAGGCCCUGUGAAGCCCGGCAACCCCUGUAUGUUAAAGUACAGAAGGUGCUAAAUCCUACAGAUAUUGCGGUCUGAAAGAUGAGG